Molecule: long non-coding RNA, 269 nt
Organism: Schistocerca piceifrons (Central American locust)
Lineage: Eukaryota; Metazoa; Arthropoda; Insecta; Orthoptera; Acrididae
Exons: 3
Source: RefSeq, a predicted model, not a curated record
UUGUGUGUGAUAUUCUCCAGGUUAUGUUCGUAACAACUAAAUACCUGAGUUGUUAGUGCUUGUUUUUGGCCUGACCGUUAAAAUCGCUACGUGUAUCUUCAUAAAAGAAACGGCUGAGUGUGUGACGUGCUGUGAGGAGCAGUUUGUCUAUGAAGGAAUCUCCUCAUAUACUUCGUGGCUAACGAGAAAAGGCGGACAGUGAAAUUCAAAGACUGUAGAACUGAAGCGAUGGACCAGGAGCCAACUAAGUGGAUAAAAAAAGAUGAAAC